CGAACGCUGGCGGCGUGCUUAACACAUGCAAGUCGAACGAAAAGGCCCUGCUUUUGUGGGGUGCUCGAGUGGCGAACGGGUGAGUAACACGUGAGUAACCUGCCCUUGACUUUGGGAUAACUUCAGGAAACUGGGGCUAAUACCGGAUAGGAGCUCCUGCUGCAUGGUGGGGGUUGGAAAGUUUCGGCGGUUGGGGAUGGACUCGCGGCUUAUCAGCUUGUUGGUGGGGUAGUGGCUUACCAAGGCUUUGACGGGUAGCCGGCCUGAGAGGGUGACCGGCCACAUUGGGACUGAGAUACGGCCCAGACUCCUACGGGAGGCAGCAGUGGGGAAUAUUGCACAAUGGGCGGAAGCCUGAUGCAGCAACGCCGCGUGCGGGAUGACGGCCUUCGGGUUGUAAACCGCUUUCGCCUGUGACGAAGCGUGAGUGACGGUAAUGGGUAAAGAAGCACCGGCUAACUACGUG
RNAcentral lists this ribosomal RNA (466 nucleotides) under uncultured bacterium. Its description in RNAcentral is "partial 16S ribosomal RNA". It matches the Rfam family "Bacterial small subunit ribosomal RNA", at positions 30 to 507 of the family's 1533-position model. The record is from RNAcentral.